Molecule: ribosomal RNA, 702 nt
Filed under: Triticum aestivum (bread wheat)
Lineage: Eukaryota; Viridiplantae; Streptophyta; Magnoliopsida; Poales; Poaceae
Description: partial small subunit ribosomal RNA
Source: RNAcentral
AUGUUCCUCGGGCUCAAUUAUCUAAUCUUCCAACCAAUCAUCGAUCAUAUCACCGGCGAUGAUUACCGUGCUAUGCAACUUCCAUUCGCCAGGGGGGACUAUGUUUACACAUCAUACCAUGGGUUUCAUGAAUCACCAUAUCCAGAGAUUCGUCGACACAGCUUGUUGUCAGAUAAUCUUCAGUGUGCGAAAGGCAUCAAGCUUCCAUGCGAUGGCUGGCUUUUGCAAACCCAACAUGCGGCGAUGUGGUUCAUGCCAACAGCAAAUAUGCACAACUUGAUUCCUGGCGUCAAGUUCGAUCCCACAUAUCAGGAGCUGAUCGAGCACCUUCAGGCCAAAGUGAGUGCUGACAGCGCGAGAUCUCACCCUCUCAUCGAUUUGUUCAUACCAACCAUCGACAGCGAGCACGGCAUAUGCUACACUCAUCCUGAGAAACUUCCAGACAUGUCGGAGUGCGGCAUGCACGCGAUGUGGCACAACACCGGCAAUACCUUGCCGGUGAUGGUCAACGGCCGGCAGAUGGGCAGCAUAAAGGUUCUGGUGCUGCACACCAAUAAGAACUUCGACCAACAGAGGACCAACUGGGUGAUGCACCAGUACCACCUCGGGGACCUGGAGCAAGAGAAGAAGCGGGAGCUAGUCCUCUGCAAGAUUUUCUACCAGACGAACACUAGGGCCAGGAGUAAAAAGAUUAUAAGUUAG